Non-coding RNA from Mycena rebaudengoi, 92 nucleotides. The record is from the annotation of a GenBank genome assembly. NCBI's taxonomy places the organism in Eukaryota, Fungi, Basidiomycota, Agaricomycetes, Agaricales, Mycenaceae.
GGCGCUAUGGCCGAGUGGUCUAAGGCGAAAGAUUUGAAUUCCUCACUAUCUUUUCCACUCUGUGGGCGCAGGUUCGAACCCUGCUGGCGUCG